UUUUUAAUCAUAUAAUCUAAGGAAAAUAAAUCAUAUUUUUCUUCAACAUGCUGCUUUUAUAUUUUGACUUCAGCCCAGCAACAACGGCCUUAGGAACAACGUCUAUUUAUUUAAUUUUUUUUUUUUUUUUUUUUUUUGGCAAAUUUCCAGCUACAGUAUGUUUAUUGGCCCGGUUCAAAAGGAACACUUGCACGAUAUGAGCCUGGGCUUUGGCUGGCCCUGUGGAUCGUUGGGUGGUUCCUGCAUUGUCAGAGGAUGAAUCCCUAUCGCGAGAGGACACAGCAGCGCCAACUCGCACACAAGCUAAAAAUACAUGUAUAAAUUCAGGCACAGCAAUAAGACGUUGUUCCACACGCCAUUAAAAUAAUAAUAAAUAUAAAUUUAAUAUAUUAUA
This is a long non-coding RNA of Drosophila mojavensis, 394 nucleotides long. RefSeq lists it as uncharacterized. The record is from RefSeq and is a predicted model, not a curated record. The transcript has 2 exons. Lineage: Eukaryota; Metazoa; Arthropoda; Insecta; Diptera; Drosophilidae.